GACGAACGCUGGCGGCAUGCCUAAUACAUGCAAGUCGAGCGAACAGAUGAAGUGCUUGCACUUCUGACGUUAGCGGCGAACGGGUGAGUAACACGUAAGGAAUCUACCUAUAAGCGGGGGAUAACAUUCGGAAACGGGUGCUAAUACCGCAUAAUAUCUUCUUCCGCAUGGAAGAAGAUUGAAAGACGGCUCUGCUGUCACUUAUAGAUGACCUUGCGGUGCAUUAGUUAGUUGGUGGGGUAACGGCCUACCAAGACGAUGAUGCAUAGCCGACCUGAGAGGGUGAUCGGCCACAUUGGGACUGAGACACGGCCCAAACUCCUACGGGAGGCAGCAGUAGGGAAUCUUCCGCAAUGGGCGAAAGCCUGACGGAGCAAUGCCGCGUGAGUGAAGAAGGCCUUCGGGUCGUAAAACUCUGUUAUAAGAGAAGAACGAACUGUAGAGUAACUGCUACAGUCUUGACGGUAUCUUAUCAGAAAGCCACGGCUAACUACGUGUCAGCAGCCGCCGUAA
This 513-nucleotide ribosomal RNA is filed under the name uncultured bacterium. RNAcentral's name for it is "partial 16S ribosomal RNA". It matches the Rfam family "Bacterial small subunit ribosomal RNA", at positions 28 to 523 of the family's 1533-position model. The record is from RNAcentral.